GAUGAAGAACGUAGCGAAAUGCGAUACUUGGUGUGAAUUGCAGAAUCCCGUGAACCAUCGAGUCUUUGAACGCAAGUUGCGCCCGAAGCCAUUAGGCCGAGGCACGCCUGCCUGGGCGUCACACGUCGUUGCCCCCCCAUCUACUCCUUCGGGAUUGCGGGGGGCGGAUGAUGGCCUCCCGUGCGCCACGCCGCGCGGUUGGCAUAAAUGCCAAGUCCUCGGCGACGCACGCCACGACAAUCGGUGGUUGCGAAACCUCGGUUGCCCGUCGUGUGCGGUCGUCGCGCAUCGAGGGCUCGAAAAAAUUGCCGGGUUCCGGCUCGGCUUUCAACGCGACCCCAGGUCAGGCGGGGUUACCCGCUGAAUUUAAGCAUAUCAAUAAGCGGAGGA
This 390-nucleotide unclassified non-coding RNA is filed under the name soil metagenome. Its description in RNAcentral is "partial contains 5.8S ribosomal RNA, internal transcribed spacer 2, and large subunit ribosomal RNA". The stretch from base 1 to 121 matches the Rfam family "5.8S ribosomal RNA", at positions 35 to 154 of the family's 154-position model. The record is from RNAcentral.